CGUGUCGUGAGAUGUCGGGUUAAGUCCCAUAACGAGCGAAACCCUUACCCUUAGUUGCAACCCGAAAGGGGCACUCUAGGGGGACUGCCGGUGUCAAACUGGAGGAAGGUGGGGAUGACGUCAAGUCCUCAUGGCCUUUAUGCCCAGGGCUGCACACGUGCUACAAUGGCGUGGACAGAGGGACGCGACUACGCGAGUAGGAGCCGACCCCCGAAAGCACGCCCCAGUUCAGAUCGCAGGCUGCAACCCGCCUGCGUGAAGCCGGAAUCGCUAGUAAUCGCGGGUCAGCAACACCGCGGUGAAUGUGUUCCUGAGCCUU
RNAcentral lists this ribosomal RNA (319 nucleotides) under uncultured bacterium. Its description in RNAcentral is "bacterial SSU rRNA". It matches the Rfam family "Bacterial small subunit ribosomal RNA", at positions 1061 to 1382 of the family's 1533-position model. The record is from RNAcentral.